Molecule: ribosomal RNA, 427 nt
Filed under: uncultured bacterium
Lineage: Bacteria
Description: partial 16S ribosomal RNA
Rfam family: Bacterial small subunit ribosomal RNA
Source: RNAcentral
UGGGGAAUAUUGGACAAUGGGCGAAAGCCUGAUCCAGCCAUGCCGCGUGUGUGAAGAAGGUCUUCGGAUUGUAAAGCACUUUAAGUUGGGAGGAAGGGCAUUAACCUAAUACGUUAGUGUUUUGACGUUACCGACAGAAUAAGCACCGGCUAACUCUGUGCCAGCAGCCGCGGUAAUACAGAGGGUGCAAGCGUUAAUCGGAAUUACUGGGCGUAAAGCGCGCGUAGGUGGUUUGUUAAGUUGGAUGUGAAAUCCCCGGGCUCAACCUGGGAACUGCAUUCAAAACUGACUGACUAGAGUAUGGUAGAGGUUGGUGGAAUUUCCUGUGUAGCGGUGAAAUGCGUAGAUAUAGGAAGGAACACCAGUGGCGAAGGCGACCACCUGGACUAAUACUGACACUGAGGUGCGAAAGCGUGGGGAGCAAACA